Molecule: ribosomal RNA, 333 nt
Filed under: Escherichia coli
Lineage: Bacteria; Pseudomonadati; Pseudomonadota; Gammaproteobacteria; Enterobacterales; Enterobacteriaceae
Also listed under: 1 other name
Description: bacterial SSU rRNA
Rfam family: Bacterial small subunit ribosomal RNA
Source: RNAcentral
GUUAAAACUCAAAUGAAUUGACGGGGGCCCGCACAAGCGGUGGAGCAUGUGGUUUAAUUCGAUGCAACGCGAAGAACCUUACCUGGUCUUGACAUCCACAGAACUUUCCAGAGAUGGAUUGGUGCCUUCGGGAACUGUGAGACAGGUGCUGCAUGGCUGUCGUCAGCUCGUGUUGUGAAAUGUUGGGUUAAGUCCCGCAACGAGCGCAACCCUUAUCCUUUGUUGCCAGCGGUCCGGCCGGGAACUCAAAGGAGACUGCCAGUGAUAAACUGGAGGAAGGUGGGGAUGACGUCAAGUCAUCAUGGCCCUUACGACCAGGGCUACACACGUGCU